CGGGGCGUAGCGCAGCUUGGUAGCGCACUUGCAUGGGGUGCAAGGGGUCGGAGGUUCGAAUCCUCUCGCCCCGACCA
Molecule: transfer RNA, 77 nt
Filed under: Pseudomonadota bacterium
Lineage: Bacteria; Pseudomonadati; Pseudomonadota
Description: Proteobacteria bacterium (cold seep metagenome) tRNA-Pro
Rfam family: tRNA
About the family: Transfer RNA (tRNA) molecules are approximately 80 nucleotides in length.
Source: RNAcentral